This 279-nucleotide ribosomal RNA is filed under the name uncultured bacterium. RNAcentral describes it as "partial 16S ribosomal RNA". It matches the Rfam family "Bacterial small subunit ribosomal RNA", at positions 506 to 784 of the family's 1533-position model. The record is from RNAcentral.
UGCCAGCCGCCGCGGUAAUACGGAGGGUGCGAGCGUUAAUCGGAAUCACUGGGCGUAAAGCGUACGUAGGUGGCAAAGUCAGUCAGGCGUGAAAGCCCUCGGCUCAACCGAGGAAUUGCGUUUGAUACUACUUUGCUAGAGUCUCGGAGAGGUUGGCGGAAUUGUUAAUGUAAGGGUAAAAUCUAUAAAUAUUAAUAGGAAUAUCGCUGGCGAAAGCAGCUAUCUACUUCUUGACUGACGCUGAGGUGCGAAGGUACGGGUAGCAAACAGGAUUAGAUA